GGGAGACAGCAGUUGAGACAGGGAAGGGGAGUCCCGACACCCAAAGGAAAGAGCGCCCGUGAUUCCAUUUGUGGAGCCCCAGAGAUUAAAAAGCCGACCGGGAGCUUCAGUGGAGAGGAGGAACCGUUUAAGCACGACAGAAAGGUAGAGGAAUAAAAGAAAGCAGCUCGUAAAAAGAAAAAAAUAAAAUAAAAUACCGGAAGAAAUGAGAAUCAAGAUUAGGGACAAAAUCAAGCCCCCUUGGCAGGCUUCACAUCUCACCUCGCACCCCCAGCCUGCUUCCACAUCUGUCCUACUCUUCCUCCGUGCCCCAACGCUCUUGGGUGACACGCUCUCCAGCGCACUCAUGACUUGCUUUAGCGUCCUGAUUCUUCAUAUAACCCUACAGCCUGCUGAAAACCAGGGGAGAGCACGGAAGUGCCGGCAA
Long non-coding RNA from Antechinus flavipes (yellow-footed antechinus), 427 nucleotides. RefSeq lists it as uncharacterized. The transcript has 3 exons. Lineage: Eukaryota; Metazoa; Chordata; Mammalia; Dasyuromorphia; Dasyuridae. The record is from RefSeq and is a predicted model, not a curated record.